RNAcentral lists this long non-coding RNA (33115 nucleotides) under Phoenix dactylifera (date palm). Its description in RNAcentral is "long non-coding RNA (PDAC_LNC004735)". The record is from RNAcentral. Lineage: Eukaryota; Viridiplantae; Streptophyta; Magnoliopsida; Arecales; Arecaceae.
GUGGGGAUAACCCCUUCCUUUUGCUCAGAAAGAAUAAGACAUGGAAGAAGCAUAUGAAGAAUAUCAUUUGCAGUUCUUUGGUAGGAUAUGAGGAAGGUAUCUCAUAGUGCUACAUUUAUGUAAUCAUACAGAUGUAUAGCAUUGGAAAAACAAUUUGUAAAAUUGUAGCUUGAGGGAAUUUCUAGCGCAAAAAAUGGUGUAGAGAGGAGUGGGGUGUGUAUUCAGGAGGGGGGAUAGAGAAAGAGGUUGCCAUUCAUGCAAGAAGAGGACAUAAAGAGAGGGGCCAACCACCUAGCUAUGCACCAAAAGCCUUCCACAUCAUCCUGAUGCUCUAGCUAUGCACCAAAAGGCUUCCACAUCAUCCUGAUGCUCUAGCUAUGCACCAAAAGCCUUUGGUCACCUUAUUUUCCAUCUAAUUAUGACCCUUGAUUUCCUAUAUUUGGUGCUCCUCUUUUUAUGAUGAGCUAUAAUCAUCAUGUAAUCAAAUUAAUUGAGUCAUCAUGUGAUAGGCAUGUAAUGGUUUUAGCAGUGCCCCACACCAAAGUGGGCAAACACUGUACUAACCAUCUAGCCUUUUCCCAACUAUUUGGGUCCGUUUCAUGGAUCUUGGGUCCUCAUUGACCAAGUAUUCUUAUAUAGGGCCAUCUCUGAUGUUAUUUUAAGCUUGUCCAUAUCUUUCCUUACAAUGUCUAUCAAUGCUAAUCUUAGGUCUUCCUCUUCUUUUACUGUAACCUUCAACUUAAAUUAAAAUACCCCUCAUUACAUGUAACCAAAAAAUUUAUCCCACCUUCUUGUAAUCUGCUCACAUAUGCUUAUACCAUUUUAGUUGAUUUUUCGUUGCUCUGUCCUUAAUUUGUGUAGCUCCUGCAAUUUUUUUUAAUUUAUUCUGUUCUCAAUCUAUCCUUGUUAGGUUUACCACAUAUUCAUCUUAACAUUCUCAUUUUUGCAUCACUCAACUUAUUUUCAUGAACUCUCUUAGUUGUGUAGUAUUUCAAGCCAUAUAACAUUGCAGGCAAGGUAUGCUGUACCGGUACUGGUAGGCGUAUCGGUCGCCUACCGGAUUGGUACAGUACCGGUUCGGACUAGUUUAUACUAGUAUUGAACCGGCUAACAGCGUGCUGUAACCACAGAGUGGCAAAUGCCACUCUGUAGCAUUAAAUGCCAUAGAGCGGCAAUGCCACUCUUUGGCAAAUUGGAUGCCAUAGAGUGGCACGCUGCGGAAUGCCAUAGAGUGGCAUCCAGUUUGCAGGCCGAAUCGGACGGAACCAGGGUUCCCUCAGGUACGCUUUUAUACUAGCUGGUUCAGGCUGGUAUGAGCUCUGUACCACUCGGUUCCGGCCUCUUUGGGGCCAGAACCGUUUUUUAUUGCGGAACCGGACCGGUCAGAGACCGGACUAGUCCGGUACUGACCGGUUCAACAUACCAUGAUUGUAGGUCUUUUGUUGUUCUAUAUAAUUUUUCUUCAAGUCUCCAUGGUGUGCAUCAAUCACAACCCUUCAAGACUCCCCAGUUAGAACACAUGUUAAGGAUCCCAGCAUAUUUACUUUUAGUUUGAGAUGCAAUGAACUCCUUGUAAAUAUACUCUAAUAGCAUGUGGGCCAUCUAAACAAUAUGAUAUGCAUUUGGCAAGCAUUUAACUUGACCAAUUUGGUCUCAUGCAAGGAAGAUCAAGUAAUGUGAGGAUGACGUCAAGUCAUCAUGCCCCUUAUGCCGAGGAAGUUAGGAACGCUAGAUAUAGUUUUCAUUAACACGGAGGAAGCAUGUUGGUACCAACAAGUGAGUUGGUAAAGUCACUUGGGCAUAGUGUCCAAUGACCUUGGUUCAAAUCUGCCUGCACCCAAGUGGGUAAGUGGGGAUAACCCCUUCCUUUUGCUCAGAAAGAAUAAGACAUGGAAGAAGCAUAUGAAGAAUAUCAUUUGCAGUUCUUUUGGUAGGAUAUGAGGAAGGUAUCUCAUAGUGCUACAUUUAUGUAAUCAUACAGAUGUAUAGCAUUGGAAAAACAAUUUGUAAAAUUGUAGCUUGAGGGAAUUUCUAGCACGAAAAAUGGUGAAGAGAGGAGUGGGGUGUGUAUUCAGGAGGGGGGAUAGAGAAAGAGGGUGCCAUUCAUGCAAGAAGAGGACAUAAAGAGAGGGGCCAACCACCUAGCUAUGCACCAAAAGCCUUCCGCAUCAUCCUGAUGCUCUAGCUAUGCACCAAAAGCCUUUGGUCACCUUAUUUUCCAUCUAAUUAUGACCCUUGAUUUCCUAUAUUUGGUGCUCCUCUUUUUAUGAUGAGCUAUAGUCAUCAUGUAAUCAAAUUAAUUGAGUCAUCAUGUGAUAGGCAUGUAAUGGUUUUAGCAGUGCCCCACACCAAAGUGGGCAAACACUGUAACUAACCAUCUAGCCUUUUCCCAACUAUUUGGGUCAGUUUCAUGGAUCUUGGGUCUUCAUUGACUAAGUAUUCUUAUAUAGGGCCAUCUCUGAUGUUAUUUUAAGCUUGUCCAUUUCUUUCCUCACAAUGUCUAUCAAUGCUAAUCUUAGGGUCUUCCCCUUCUUUUACUGUAACCUUCAACUUAAAUUAAAACACCCCUCAUUACAUGUAACCAAAAAAAGUAUCCCACCUUCUUGUAAUCUGCUCACAUAUGCUUAUACCAUUUUAGUUGAUUUUUCGUUGCUCUGUCCUUAAUUUGUGUAGCUCCUGCAUUUUUUUUUAAUUUAUUCUCUUCUCAAUCUAUCCUUGUUAGGUUUACCACACAUUCAUCUCAACAUUCUCAUUUUUGCAUCACUCAACUUAUUUUCAUGAACUCUCUUAGUUGUGUAGUAUUUCAAGCCAUAUAACAUUGCAGGCAAGGUAUGCUGUACCGGUACCGGUAGGCGUAUCGGUCGCCUACCGGAUUGGUACAAGACUGGUUCAGACUAGUUUAUACUGGUAUUGAACUGGCUAACAGCGUGCUGUAGCCACAGAGUGGCAAAUGCCACUCUAUAGCAUUAAAUGCCAUAGAGCGGCAAUGCCACUCUUUGGCAAAUUGGAUGCCACAGAGUGGCGCGCUGUGGAAUGCCACAGAGUGGCAUCCGGUUCGCAGGCUGAAUCGGACGGAGCCAGGGUUCCGUCCGGUACGCUUUUAUAUUGGCUGGUUCAGGCCGGUACGGGCUCUGUACCACUCGGUUCCUGCCUCAUUGGGGCCAGAACCGUUUUUCAUUGCGGAACCGGACCGGUUAGAGACCGGACUAGUCCGGUACGGACCGGUUCAACAUACCAUGAUUGUAGGUCUUUUGUUGUUCUAUAUAAUUUUUCUUUAAGUCUCCAUGGUGUGCAUCAAUCACAUAACCCUCCAAAAAUGCUGAAACUCAUGAAAUAAAUGUAUGAUAAACAAUCUGAUAGAUGCACCAGAAGCCUAGAAGUACUUUUGGACAAAUUACAAAUUGAUCAACAUUCAACUCCUAAAACAGGAAGUUGUUCUCAUAUGAUGAAAUAUUAGAAAAAUGAUACUAUGUAACUGCACCAAAUAUAUUGAUCAUAACUAAAGGAGUUGGAUAAUGAAUUUGAUCUACUGAUGAACAUGGUUAAUUCGUUGGUCUAAAUGGUUUUGUGGUGCAAGAAAGCUACAUCAGAAUAUAUUAGAAUAGUUAUUGCAGAUCUUUUAAAAUCUUAAUCAAUCUUCCUUUGGGUGAUUGAUGACUGUUUGAAGUAGUAUUAUAUCUGCAGUUACCUGGUGCCCCCUAUUUUUACUUUCGAGACAUACAUCAUGAUGUAGGAUAAUGAUAAGACCUACUAGGUUUGAAUCUACACUUUUGGAUUUUAGGUUCAACCUAAGGGUUUAUUGCUGGUGUAGAUAAAUUUCUAGGAACAUAAGGAUGCUGAAAUCAGGUUUUAGGACAUGAGUGAAGAAACUUAUUGCUUCAAUGGUUAGAGUUUUCAGUCAAAAAGCAUAUAAGCUAUCUUGGGAAUAAAAGGAUGAUCUAGGGCAGAUUACAAUGCGGAAUCUAUGAAAGAAAGAUUGAGAAAAAAGAAGGAAAACAAUUGAAGAGAAGGUGAUGAGGAAAUGUGGAUCCAAUAGGAAACCUCUACAACUCUUUUUUCUUUUUUUGGGAAUUCUUAGUAGUGCGGAUCAUGGUUGAUUGUGUGGAUUCUCAAUUUAAAUUGGCCAUCAUACAAUUUGUCAGUAGGACUCUUGAUCAAAUCAUCUUGGUGAUUCAAGCUAAACACAAACACAUAUCCCCUGGGUGGCCUCCCCACUUGCAAAAAAAAAAGAAAAAAGAAAAAAAAAGAAACACUCACCUUCUCCCCUUGCAUACAUAUCCAAUUUGCUUGUCUUUAGCAUUGGUUUGAAUUUGGUGUGCUCUGUACACUUUAUUGCUUGUGAUUGAUGAUUGAUUGAAGCUGUAAAGCUUUUUCUUUGCACUUGUGGUCUGCAUGAUUGUAGAACUUUGCUUUUUUUUCAUUGGAAUUUGACUAUAUAUAGGAUGAGGUAAUAAUGCACCUAAUGUGUAAAGAAAGGGUUUUACACCCACCGCCAAAUUCAAUGUUAAUGGUGAAAAAACAAAAAUCUGAUCCAUUGGAUGUGAUCUAAAAGGCCUUUUAUAAAAAAAUUAUAUAUUUUCUAGACGUCUAGCAUCCCAAAAUCAAUACACCGUAUCACCCCAUGAUAACUAUAUAUUUGAGGCAAUUUGAUGCAUAGAACAAGGGCUGCCAUUCUCCAAAUAUGAUUUUUUGUACAUGGAUAUUUUUUAGGUUUCUAACUCAUGUUCAAUAGUUUAUAUUUUCGUUUUUAACCAGUAAUGUUGAAUUUGCUGGUGGAUCUAAAGUCUCCUCCUUACACCUCGUGGGUACUACAUACGACGACCUGUGUGGAUGUGUGUUUAGUCCCACAUUGGUUGUGCAUUGGGAAGAUCUUGGAUCAAGGUUCGCCGUACCAGAUCCGGUAGGCGUACUGGUCACCUAUUGGACCGGUACGGUUCCGGUUCGUACCGGAACCGGCCAGUAUAAACCGGCCAGCUCUUCCCCGCUGGAGCCGGGAAAGAAGAAGAGAACGAGAGACAGCACGGGGAAGAGAGGGAGGAGACCUGUGGCCGCCAUUGGAGAGCGGCGGAGGCCGGGGGGCGGGAGAACCCGUGGUCGCACGGCGGAGGCCCCCCCCCCCCGCCGCGAGCGUGGCGGAGGCCACAGGUCUCCUCCCUCCCUCUCUUCCCCGCGUUCUCUCUCAUUCUCUUCGUCUUCUUCAUCUUCGGCACAGAAUCGGCCCGUAUCGCUUUCUACUGCUCUGGCAUACUGGUUACAGGCCGGACAGGUCCGAACCGGCCGGUACGGGCUGGUUCGUCAGACUUUGUCUUGGAUAUUAUAUAGGCCAAAAAACCUAAAUAACAACUUUUGGCUAGCCUUUUUGGACUAGGUUCUGGGUCGUUACAGAAGGUAUCAGAGCAGACCCAGCCCACAGCUUAUGUGGACUAGGGGAGAUGUAGCACGGUCCUUUUUAGGGCUAACCACGGGUAGAUUGUGGUGAUUGUGAUUGGAUUAGGACCUUUAGCCUUAAGAGGACACCAAUGCUUCAAGGAAGGAUGUGUGAGGAUCCAUAUGGGCAUCUUUAGUCCCACAUUGGUUGUGCACUAGAAAGAUAUUGGCCAUGUUGGGCGAGGUUUUGAGUUGUUACACUAUAACUACACCCCUAGUUUUUAGAAAUGGGUCUGGUUCAGGCAUGGUGAAGUGGAUGGUCUCUUAAAAAAAAACUAAGAAAACACUUAGGAAGCAGGUGCGGGGAUGAACUUCCAGCAAAUUCGGAAGCAAGUGUGCCACCCUAGUAGAAAAUUUCUUCUAUCUAAGACUGCAUGCCCAUAUUUAUUUUAUAUGGAGUAGGUAACAACAAAAAUGAUAUAAUUAGAACUCCAAAAGUUUGCUCUUAUUUGAACUAAAGGGAUGGUAAUUUCUUUUAAUUUCAUGAUGAUUUACCUUCCAAGUUUUAGCAUGUUGCUUGUUCUUAUAUUUAGCAAUUCACAUAUUUGUGACUAGAUUUGUAACUUUGCCAUUUAUUAUUAUUUCAGAUUCAUUGUUUCACUUGGUUUUUGUGAUGCAUUGAUGCUCAAACCUGGUUUACAGUUUCAUCAUCAGUUGAAAAAUCCUUGUUGACUGCCUGUAGGUUUUUAGCUAUGACGGUAUUCAUUCCCCAGAUUGCUUGGCUGUCACAGCAGCAGGCAUAGCAGUGUAAGUUUACAUAAAGGCUUCUAUAUCCUAUUAUUUAUCUUGUUCUUACUAAGUUUAAUGCUUUUACCCUGCAUCUUCAACUCUGGCCAUGAAAUUUAUUUCAUAUAUCCUUAUGCUUGAUUAUUGCUUAAUUUCAGAGCUCUCUCGGAAGUGCCAAAUACCAAAAUAGUUGCUGGAGUUAGAAUUGGCCUCGUUGGUGAUCAGUUCAUUGUCAAUCCAACUACCAAAGAGAUGGAGGAGUCAGAGUUGGACUUGAUACUGGCAGGGACUGAUAAUGCUAUAUUGAUGAUAGAGGUCUACUCUUGGUUGCUCUUAAUCUACUGAAGUUACAUGAUUUCUGAUGUCUUUACCACCUGUUGUAUGAGUCUGAUACUGAAAAUGGAGCCAUUUGUUACUUUUUUCUGGAGGAAUAUUUGCGGGCAUCUAUUUUUUCGAUAGCAGGAUGUCUGAAGAGGCUUCUAUAGCAAUUUGAAUUCUAUACAAUUAUCUAGAAAGGACACUCAUAUCCAAAGUUUAAACUCUCGUGGGAUGGGGGUGUUCUGGUUUCUCCAUGGAAUAGGAUGCCCCGUUGUUUCGCCCUGUCCCGGCAGUGGUCCUGGUCAUGUAUCCUUGUAGAUAUCCCCCAUCUCUCUCUCCUUCUUCUUUCUUUUCUUUUUUCUUUUUUCUUCGUUCUUUCCUUCCUUCCUUCCUUUCUUUUUCUUGUUCCUUUUUUCUCUCUUUCUUAUCCCUUCCUUUAUUUCUUUUUUUCUUUUCUUCUUCUUUCUCUAUCCUUUCUAAUUCUUUCCUUCCUUUCUUUUUCUUCUCCCUUCCUUUCUUUCUUUACCUUUUCUUCUUCUUCUUUCUUUUCACUUUUUCCUUUUCUUCAUAUUUCCUUCCUCUUUUUCUUUCCUCUUUCUUCUUUUCUUCCCACAUAGAUGAGUUUCGUAGUCCUAACCCCAUCCCGGUCCUGUUUUCUCACAGAAAUGGGACAGGAUGGCUGGGACGUCCCCCAUCCUGGCGGGACUUAAAACCUUGCUCAUAUCAACACUAGCAAACACAUCAAAAAUGAGAAUUUAAGUACAACAGGCCAUGCUUGUGCCAUCACUGGUUGGUACGGUAUGUGAUUUGUACCGUAUCAUAAUCUGUCAAUAACAACAUGUCAAAAUGAGAAUUAUAGUACCAGAGGCUGUGCUUGUUCUGGUCACUGAUUGGUGUGGUAUGUGGGUUGUACCACGCUGUGUUGUGUCAAACCGUGCUGGUCACAUGCUUGGGGUUUUGUAAAACAAAAACGAUCCUUGUUGCUCUGAAGCGAUCUGUGCCAGCAUAGAUUGGUGAGUGCUGAACGGUCACAGAUAGGGACAGAUUGACAAGUACUGGGACUUGGUCCUUUAUUGUGUCGAUACUCGAUACCUUGUUGGCAUGGUAGGUGCUGUAUUAGCAUUGACUCGCUCAGUAUGAUAAUUUAAACAAUGAUUGCAAACUGUCCAUAUGGAACUUUUUUUGUUUGGGUUUAUAUUAAAAUCAAAUUAUAUAAACAAAUUUAUGAUUUUGUUUGGAUCUACUAAGAGAAAAAUUAUAUACCUAUAUCUAUUGUAAUGAUAUAGUACAUAUAUUCCAAUCACUACUUAUUCUUUCUCAUAGUUUCCAACAGUAAAAGAUACAUGGCUAGGAAUUAAAAUGAUAUCAUCUGACCCCAUGAUGCUGGCAUUUGCUGCAGAGUAAAAAGUAUGAUAUUUCUUAGAGUUUAUAAGGAAAGAAAAUGAAGGAAAAUGUUCACCAAAAUGUAAGUUUAGCUGUGUCUGUAAUUUAUAUUGCUGAUUGCACUCAGGAGAACAGGUGAAUUUUACCCUCAAGUCAACUAAGAUGAUUAAAACUGAGAUAUUGAUCACAUAAGCUGAAUUAACAAUGAUUUCUGUACCUAAAGUUUUUGUAAGGAUUUUACUAAAGGCACUGAUUUAUAACAUCUACUUUUUAGGGUCACGGAGUACCAAACUGCAACAGGUUACUGCAGAUGAGGAAGUUCUGUAGAUGCGAAAGGAUCUGAUGUUAGGACUGGAAGAAAACCUAUAGGGGUAUAACAGAUAAUAGCAACAGUAAGUCAAUUUGGUUCAAAAGCUCAUUAGUGAUAUCUUGGGAAUAAGGUAAUUGCUAGAUAAAUUAAGAAGUAUCUUGAUACUGAUUUACACCUUUUUUGUCGGAACGGGUAAAACACACUAGAUUUUGCUGAGAAAAAUGUGAAGUGUCAGAAAAUGUAGACAAUGUAAGGUAUAACUUCAGAAACCAUGUUUGACUGAGUCUACAUAUGCCAAGUUAAAAAAGAUCAAAAGCACCAAAAUAAGAAGUUAAAUAAUAAAGAAGCAACAUGUCAGGUCUGAUUGGGAAUCGUUAUGGUGAAAAACCAAAAGUUCUGAUGAAACCAGCGUCCACGAGCUACAACAAGCUAUCAGAAGGUUUCUCUACUGCCAAUAGAGCCACUUAUUAUACCACAAGCUUCCUGAUCUCGAAAUGUUCCUCCCUUGAUCCCUCAACUUCCCACACAUAGUGGAUGCUAUGUGACUCUUGUUGCUGGUUCUAUCCUUGUGUUUUGCAAUGGCCCUUGUUGUAUCUGCUAUACCCGUGCUACAUGCGAUUUGUAGACCCUAAGUCCCCAAACUUGUCAAGGUCAAUCCAAAAUAUGGAAAAUUUUAUUAAAGAAUGGAUAGGGGAUAUUUCCAAACUUUUCACCAGUGUUUUAAAAAGUGGAAGCUGUAUGCAUUUGGUCAGGUCACUGCAUAGCGCAUAUCGAGUAUGCGGGGAACAUAUACAGUUGUACAUGUGGUUCACAUUUUUUACAUGCUUAACAAUAAAUAAAAUAUAUUUAUAUACAUCAUUUUUUCAUUUUUACAUACUUAAAAAAAAGUAUAUUUAUAUACAUAUAUAUAAAUGGUUAAAACAGUAGAAGUAAAUCAGAAAGAUUCAGAAAAGAAUAAUAAGGAAUUAAGGAUUAACAAUUGACAUUCAGACUUAUUUGAGACUUUUGAGUGUGUAUUCUAACAUAACGUGACAAAUUAACCUGAUAAAAUGACAAUAUCAUCCAAUGAAGUAUGGACCAUUCUUGAACAUGCAAGAAAGAGUAAGCUUCAUGUUGCAACAAAGUAUUGUUAAAAGUCUAUAAGAAAGUUUGAACUUUGAAGUACCACUUAAAACAGUGUCUUUACAAGUAGGAGCUUUUAAUAAACAAGCGUGUUGUGUUUACAAGAAUGGAUAGGGGAUACUUCCAAACCCUUCAUAAGUAGGAGCUUUUAAUAAGCAAGUGUGCGUGUUUUAUCCCUAUGUGUCCAAGUACUAGUUGGGACAACCAUGAAGUUCCCACCAUUAUUUGUCAUGGUUUUCUUUGCAAGAAUAAAAGUAUGCCUGAUAUCGUGCAUGAUUCGCUGAAUUACUAUCAGACCAUCUUGUAUCAGAAUCACUUGAAGAAAAAAAUUCCAUCUCCCCCUUCCUAUAAGUAAAUAAUAUGUAGAUCUGUUCGGAUGCCUAUUUUGUUGCUGUGUCCAUAUUUGUUUGUUGUCCUGAAUGUUUUCAAAGAUUGGAGAGCUGAACUUUGCCAACAAUGAGUUCAGCUCUCCAUGUUUGAUGGUGGUGACAAGCAUUUGCUUUUUGUAAAGAUUCAUUAGGAUGUAGAUAUUAAAAUAAACUUGAUAAAUGUCAAAUUUCUUAUUUUUUUAGUUAAAUGGGCAUCUAGGAUGAGAAACAUGUGUAUUGAAAGGCCUUACAAGAAUUAAUCUUUUAUAUUUUCUGUUAUACAAUAUUUAAAUGUUUAGUUAGAAUUAUAUUUUGUCCUACUAUCCCCAUGUCUCCAUUUUAUGCUCUUGUCAAGUUCAGAUACUUGGAUAUAUGUCCCAGUCCGAUUCUCAUGUUUGUAUCUUGAGUGUCGGGACAGGAUUAUUAGUAACUUGUAGUAACCUUUCCACUGGCAAGAAUGAUUGGGAAAUGGGGAUCUUAAAAUUGGCCUUAAGUAGUUGGGACAAGGCUUCAUGGCUAUGGUUAUGGUUGAUUGAGCUUUAUCGACAGUUGUUAUGAAGGUUAAAUGUGGUUUUGCACUUCUUGUUUCUCAAGUAUGUGUUCAUCAUCUAUUGCUAAAAUUUAUUUCAUUUUCUUUUGCCACUUGUUUCCCUGGUCGUGAGUAUCCUCUAGCAUCUUUCUUCUUGCCUUGUAUUACGUAAAGUAUACGAUGAAUAAUUUCUCAAAGUGGUACCAUAUAUUUUCACAUUUGGACAUUUGCAUUUAAUGUUUAGUCAUUUCCCUACCACCUUCGAUUUGUGUUUUGCUGACUAUUUUCAAACUUUAUAUCUACUUGAUGGAUGGCUAGCUGUUGCUGUGGUUCUUAAAGGAAGAAUGCUAAUAACAAAAAGGUGUGAGUUAGCAAAUGGCAUUGUGGAUAACAUUGCUUAAUAUGUAAUGCAACACAAGUAUAUUCUUUGAUAGAAUUUAGGUUUCUGCGUAAAUACCUUAAGAUAUACUAUUUCGAAGUUUAUUUGGAAGGUGGUAUAAUUUAGCUUAUGUUCCCCCUAUUUUCAUGCAUAUUUUCUAACUGCAACCAAGAUUUUAAAUACUAGUGGGACGGGACACCAUCUCAAGUCUUGGGAUAGGAUGAGUUGGGAAUGGACCAGGAUGGGAUAGGACAUCCACCGCUCCGAGUGUUGACAUGCGGCGAGUCCUGUCAAAACUGAGAUGGUCCUGUCCCACGAUAUUCAGAAUCUUGCUCGCAAGUUGCAACUUUCUUCUUCUAUGGGUUUUACAAGUGCAUUCUCUCUGUUACUUCUUGAUGGAGGAGAUAUUAUGCAAUAAAUAGAUAACAUGCUCAUUUCAGGCUUUGCAACAUUUUUUUUUCUUUUAGAUGUUGACGAAAUGAUUAACAAUCUUUUGAAGAAGCUGUAAAAGUGUAUCUUGUUUCUUUGCAGGGCUACUGUAACUUUCUCACAGAGGAGAGGUUGCUAAAAGCUGUGGAAAUUGGGCAGGUAUCCUUAUGUUUAUUGUGUUAAGCCGUAGAAAGGUUUAUGCUCUGAAGCUGAUAAGCUGCAAAUGUAUGUAGUACUCUUACUGUAAUAUUAGUUCUAGGAGGAUUUCUUUUCCUCCCAUGAUUGCAUACUAUAAUGCAUUAGUUGGCAAUUACUAUUGGCUACCUAGAAUACAUGUCUUGUAUAAUCUUUUUUGACAACAGGUGAUUUUGUUAUUGAAAAUUUUAUGUUUGUUUGCAUUAUCUUUUGCCUAACUUUUUCUAUUUUUUAUCUUAUUUGGAUGAUUUUGCUUGAUGCCUAGUCUAUGAUCGAAAUACACUAAAUCUCUGAUUUUUAGUGAAGCAUGACCAUGGACUAAUGUACUGGUUGGCAAAAUCAGCACAACAUGGUAUAUGCCAUGCUGAUGCCUUGCUGGCAUGGUUCUGGCCAGUGUGUGCCCAGCUUUGCAAUGGCAUGGCAUUGUUACUGCAUGUACUGUGCCAGUGCAAGGGCAGCAGAGCACUGGCACAUGAUAUUUUGAUCCUUGAGCGUGAAAUGCAAAUUGUCAAAUUUUUGGUAUAAGUUUUUUAUUUUAUUUUUUUUGGCUUCCAGACCCUGCAGUAAUGUAUCCAACAAUAUUUCACAUGGUAACUAGCAGUUAGCAAACAUGUAAUGUGACAGCUCUACAUCCUGAAUAUAUGGUUUUCUUGUGUGAAUAAUGAUGUAUAUAUGUUUUCUUUUGUGUGAAUAAUGAUCUAUAUAGUUGGAUUACGUGCCCAUCCUGAUAAACUUUAUAAUAUCUGUAGAGUUAUUUUAAUCUUGGCUCCUUUGUAUUGAGGUUUUGCAUUAUAGGGAUCAUUUACAACUCUAAUAUUUACAUGAAUUUAUUGUGAAAUCGUUCCAUUUUUUUUUAUAUGUUAAUGAGUUUAUAGACACUAUGUAUAGAUUUUAAAUUGCUAUGAUGUCAAAGUCGGCUUUAACCGAGGCUAUUGAAUAAUGACCCUAUCCAAUUACCUAAACUAUUAAUCAGACUGAACCUGAGAUGGGACCUGAUUUGGUAAAAACCUGGCUUGAUGCAAAACAUUUCCCUCAUGUCCUAUUGUUAUCCUAAUACUAACCCCCAUUUCCCUCAUCUUUUCCAAAUCUUACCUUCAGCUGUCUAUUUCCACUCCAACUUGUGCCACCCACCUUUUGCCCUGCUAUGGCUCAAUUCUGGCAAUGAUGCAGCAUCAACCCUCUCUUCUCUCACCCUACCCCUGCCCCUGCCUUAUCUAUGUACCUCAGCCCCAGCCCUAGUGUCUCCCUUCCCUAUCCUCAACCUAAAUCUACUGUUCCCUUCUGUUCUCACUCCAUCACCCUCCUCUAUAAUAGGUCAUAUCAGAAUAGGUUUUCAGAUCAGAUGUCCAAUCCUUAAUAAGUCUGAAUUUUAUGCGUUGUCAUGCUGGUCCAUUGGACAAUUGGAUCAGAGUUCUCUCUUGGAUCAGAUCCGGAGCAACCCUGAACUGAUCUUAUCAAACACCUUUACAGAAACAAUCAAACAAAGAUAAAUUUAAUUGAUCUGUGAACUCCAUUUUGUCCUUCUUCAUUGCUUGUGGACAUAAUUCUAAGUUUCGUACCAUAUUGGAUUGUUGAAUUGUCCACUAGUUAGUUUGAAAGUUAUGCUUUUUAAAAUAUAUGAUUCAGUUGAAAUCUAUUACAGUCUAAUGUAAAUUGUUUGGGUUUCUUUCUUUCUUUUUAUUUAUAAAUAAAGCAAUCAAGAUUCAGUUGAAAUCUUUUUCACAAUAUUGUUUAUGCUAUGAUCAUAUUUCUUAUUUUCUUCCAAUACCAGGCUGCAGUAAGAGAUAUAUGCAAUGAGGUGGAGGCUUUAGUCAAGAAGUGUGGAAAACUGAAAAUGAUUGAAGCUAUCAAGUUACCUCCUCUCGAGCUCUAUAGGCAUGUUGAAGUAUGAACAUAUGUCGUUUUUCAUUUGAUUGAUAGUAUAAGUUUUCAUGUAGUUAUAGUCCAUUUUAUCUUUCUUUUUAAAAUUAAUUUGCCUCUUUACUGUUAUUUAUGGCCAUUAUAUAACACUAUUUCUUAGAGCAACCUCUGUUGGAGGAGUACGGAGCUACUGUCUAACAGAUUAGUGAUGUAAGCACUGAAUACAUAAGUACAUAUUUAGCAUUGGAAGGCUUUUGCAAUUGACUCCAAUCUUUGUUAUUUCAGAUGCAACGAUUGUUUUAGUGAGCAAGCUAGCAUACUUUGGAUAAUGAUUUCUUUCUCUUGUCCAAUUAUCUACUAAGCACUAGCUGGAUAAUUGUCACUAGUUGUCCAUGAAACAAAUUUGGAAAAGUCAUAUUAAUUUAAAAGCCAGCUCUUGUUAUGCUUUCAAUUUCUUUGAACAUUAAUUAAUAUUAUUCAAAAUAACAUGAGCGUAUGCUAGGGACAAAUUGCUAAAUUUAGGCACUUGAGAGGAGCAAGAUAUCAACAUCUGUGAAUAUAGUAAUACGUUGUAUAUCUUGUCAGUGGUAUAUUAGUAUGUUCUUUACUUUAAGCUUGAAGUCCGGAAAUUAACCGUCUCUUAUUUUCAUUUCUAGUGGCAUGCUGUGGUAGUUUACUUCCUUUAUUCUUCAUGUUAUUGCAUUAUCUGAUUUCUUCUCUUGUAUACAUUUCAUUAUAUUGUAAGAAUUUGAGAUCUAAACAUGUUUCAACCUCAUGAUAUAAUUCUUUGCUUUGAGACGCGAUAGUUCGGGUAAUACUAAUUGCGUUAACAAAUACAAUAGCAUGGUCUGCCGAACCGAUCGGAGCCGGUAGGUUCAGGCUGUACCGAACCAGUGCCGAUAGCUAUCGGUAUGGUUCGACUGUGAAAACCGGUACCAAACCGAAACCAGGGCGACCGGCAUCCGUAGAAGUAGGGAAGAAGAGGAGGAAGAAGAGGAAGAAAGAAGAGAAGAAGCGGGGAAGAAGAGGAAGAAAGAAGAGAAGAAAAAGGGGGGAAGAAGAGAAGACAAGUACCAAAAAAAGGAGGACCUCUCUUCCUUCCUUGCUCGCAGGAGAAUGGGGGGAGCCGGAAAAGAGAGAAGAGAGGAGAGAGGGGAAGGAGGGCUUGGGAAGAAGGGGAGGAAAAAAAUAGAGGGAAGAAAAACCCCGCGCGGGGCCGAGUGGGGAACCGCGAGCCCACUCGCGCCUGCUCGUAGGGAACCGUGCCUGCACGUGGUUUCCUGCGCUGCCUCAAUUCCCCAUGCGGGCUCGCCGCUCGGGGCAGCGGGCCCACGCGGGCUGCCCUGUGUGGGCUUUAAAUGCCGCACAAAGUGGCAUUUAAUGCCCCUCUGUGGUAACGCGCGGGCGUCCCCGCGUUGGACGCGUGUCUUUUUUCUAUCUCGACCGGUUUGGUACCGGUACCGUACGGAAACCGGUCUUCACUGGUACACCAGUACUAUCAGUAUCGCAGACCUUGCACUCUAGCAAAAAGUGAAAUUUUUUUGAAUACAAACAUAACUAGUCUUGGUCUGCAAGGUUAGCGGCCUCAGUAUUGGAAUGCAUACCAGUAGGAGGUAGGUACGGUAAGGUAUCAAAAGUAUAUAUUUUUAUUUUUGUUUUCAAGGAUUUUAAUCUUUCCUUUUAGUUUUGAGUGGAUAAUAGGUUUUGUGGUUUCAUUUUUUAUGUUUAAAUGUAUUAUACUUUAAUUUUUUAUGUUACAUACUAAGAAUGGUAUGAUUGAAUAAUAUAUGUUAAUUAACUAAGUGUAACAUUGAAAAUAUAGAAUAUUUAAAUUAAAAAAUGGAAGUACAAUAUACUUGUAUCUGUUCAACUUCAAGUUGAGUGUCGUUGUCUCUCAUAGAUCCUAGGUCACGCUUGUAGUCGGUCCCUAGGACUUGACUCCAGCUUUGUAUUAUGUCCACCCAGUAUCUUAGCAGUCUCAUACCAUACUGUCCCUCGGGACGCCUCGUCGGCUCAUACCGUACUGCAUACCAAUACUAUAAUAGGGUACCAACACUGUAAUAGGGUGGUAACGGUGUGGGGUCCGAUAUUGAGACAACGAACCUUGCUUAGAAUAUUUAGAAUCAUUUAUAAGCUUAAAAUUGUCUGGGAGAUCAGAAAUACUAAGUAAGUCAUAACUAAUUUUAAAGGCAGAAAGGUACUUACCUCAUGAUGCAAAACAAACCAUGUACUUCUUGUCUUGAUUUAUUUCAAUAUCAUCAUCAUUGUCUUCUUCUUCUACCCCUACUCUUCCUCUAGCCAAGGUAGGCCGGUCAAAAGUAGGGCCCACUAUGUUAAUUCACUUACCGAGGUUGGUUCCUUAAGUAGGUGGGCCCCACCUUAGGCUAGUUGCAAGUAGGUCGGUCAUGAAGGUUGGGUAAGGAGGCCCAAUAAUUAGGUGACUCAGUAGGCAGAUUAAAAGAGAGAUAGAUAGCCAGAUGCUUAUUUACAUGUAAUAUCAUUUAAUUAAAUAUUACUUGAGGCAUGGUGCCUAUGUCAUACUAAAAUGCUGAAGUCAAUUGACCAUUAGGACUGUCAAUCAAGCAAGCUAUUUUUGAGCUUGCUUGUGUUUACCUUGGCUUCUACUUGCUCUAUUAGUAAACAAGCUGGGCUAGAGCUCGGUUUAACUAAUUCGUAAAUACCAUUGCAUUGUUUUAGUCAUUAUUUUCUAUUUAAAAUUCUUUUGAUAUUUAUUUUGGCAAUGUAAUUUGUCUAAAAUAGAAUGCAUUUCAAUUAUAACUUUAAGAUAUAAUGUGGAUGGCUAGCUUAAAGUAUAGGAAUGAAUGUUUUGGGAGACCUCAAGCUCUCACGAGAUCUCUUAAAUGAGUUGUUCAUAAACAGCUUAUGUUCUGCUCAAAAUUAAAUGGCUUGCUCGAUUUCAAAACAAGGUGAAAUUGAAUUCGUGUGGUUUGCUUGAGCUCAGUUUGUUUAUCAGCUAGCGACCAUCACUUGUUCUUAUAUUUGAACUUUUGAAGUAUUCAAUCUUUGGUUCUUUCUUUAUGGUUGAUUUUCCCUUCAUUUAUUUGUCAUCCAUGUUUUAUGUACAUAUGCAUGAUUCUGUCCUUGUAAAUGUAUGUUGCCAAAUAAUACACACACGCACACACACAAAUGAAUGUGUGCAUGUCAGCACGCAUGCAUGCGUAUGCAUGUUAUUCAUUGAUAUGUGCCACUUAUGGUAAUCCUUUCAUCAAAUUAUUUUUUUUGUUAAAUCUCACCAUCCUUUUUUUUUUUUUGAGGACCAAUUAUACACUUUUACAGGUUAAUUUGCCUAUUUUACUGCUGAACAAGAUCUUGUUACUUGUUCCUCAGGAUAUUUCUGGUGAUGAAUUGGUAAAGGCACUCCAAAUAAAAAAUAAAAUACCAAGGAGAAGGGCUCUUUCUGCAAUAGAAGACAAAGUUUUAACAAUACUUACUGAAAAAGGUUAUAUUGUCAAAGGUGAAGCUCCAGGAGAUGCUGAAGGUGUACCAGUUGCUUAUGAGGAUGAGGAUGAGGAUGAGGUAGUAGUUGUUGAUGGAGAGGUGGAUGAAGGUGAUGUUCAUAUAAAGCCGAAUUCACGGAAACCCAUUCCCUUGGUAAGGUUUUCUUAUUUUCUGGCCUUAAUGUGAUAAUUUCAAUGCUUCACUGAUUAUUGCUUUUCUGGGCAAUGAUUUUAUCUCAUGAGAUGAGGCAUGGGGCACAUAAUUAUUUUUAUUUAUUACAACCUAAUAUUUAUCUUUCCUUUUUAAUUCUACAUGUCAUUUACCGCAUUAUAACAUGGUAAGAGUCAAGGUUAGUACCCGACUAUUAACUACAUUGCAUUAUAACAUACAAAAGCACAUGCAGGCGUGCACACGUGCACACAGAGAGAGAGAGAGAGAGAGAGAGAGAGAGAGAGAGAGAGAGAGAGAGAGAGAGAGUAGUACGUACGUACUACGUAACUACGUACGUACUACGUACGUACGUACGUACGUACGUACGUUACGUACGUUACGUUACGGUUACGUACGUACGNNNNNNNNNNNNNNNNNNNNGAGAGAGAGAGAGAGAUUGUUCCCUCCAUUAACCAUGAGUCUAGCACAUGGGGCUCCUAUAGUUUCAGGUUGACCGCAUCUAUCUAUUCUCUAUUUCCAAUCAGUUCAUCAGCCUAAUUUCAGCGAAACAAAAUAUGUAGCAGCACACAAUGUGUUUGAUCUGGCUCAUAUUUUGGACACUCAUUUUCUUCAAAUGAUUUGGUAUUGACUGUUGUGUCUCUUAGUAAAUGUAGAAUCUGUAGAAUGUAAUGAGCCUGUUGGUAGCUUAGAGGUCUGGUCUAUUUGUGACUCAUAAAAGUCUUUAAGAAGGCUAUAGGUCCUUACUGGUGCACUAAAAUUAAAAAUUUAAUUUAAUUUAUAACAUGGAUUUAAGUGCUGUUCAGCAUGAUAUGAAAUGAAACUCAUAUACAUACUGAGCCAGUACCUUAAUGGCACUUGAUACUGGUAUGAUAUGGGCUGUGUUCCAGUACCUGGCAUGCUGCCGUGCAGGGCAUGCCAAACACUGGCACAGUUCAGCAUGCCACCGGCAUGAAUUAUUUCAAUCCUUGGUCUAUUAAUUGUACCAGUGGUAACUCAGCUGGUUUCUUAUUUAUUAUAUAUCUGAUGUUGGCAUUUCCUCUCAAUAAUUGUAAUAGCGGGAUUCAUUUUCUAUUUCAACUUUUCAAGUUAAGUAACUGCCUAGCUGUUGAGUGGUUCGACCUUGUUGGUGGGUGCUUUCUUGCUCAACUUUAAAAUUAAGAUAAUUUUAAUUUAUCAACCCACAUCCUUCUCUUAGUCUUGGGUUGUUGUUCAUAUUUUUGUUUAUCCUCGCCAAUCCUACUCUAGUUCCAUAUGCCAAUAUACUUUAGUAUGCAAGAUUCAGUUUUUCUCUAUAGGAUCCAAUCCUUUCUCCUUGCGUUUUCCAACCUUGUCAGAACUCCUAAAAUGAAUUGUUUUGCAUCAUUUAAUCCAUUAUUUUCUUUGUAAAUUCACAAGCAAUUUAUUUAUACUCAAUUUCAGUAUUUAGUUGGGAAUAACUAGAUAUGUGUAAAAACAAAACAAAACACUAGAAAUAAGUGAAAAUGAAGAAAGUUUAAGAAGUAAUAAUAAAAUAAACACAACUCAGGAGGAAAUAACAUAUGGUACAUUAUCUUAAAGCAUGUUAUGUUAUUUGGAUAUAUAAUUGAAGUGCUUUGAGUCUAAAGCUAUGUAAAGUUGUAAAUGAUAAUUUAAAUUUUUAAAAGAAAUGUAAACUUUGAAAACUAUUGAAAUAUAACAAAAUAUACAAGUUAAACAGUGUUUAGAAAUCACUAUACAGUAUAAUAUAGAAAUUGUUUCUACAGCAUAAAUAUUGUUUGAUUUUAAUCUAACAAAUAUGCGUGGUCUUAUUAACACUUAUAAUCGCUGUUAUGUCUGAGCACUGGCAGCUUAACGAGAGUCAUGCUAGAAAUACAACUCACCUCAUUAUUGAUUUGCAACGCAAAUGGGAAAAAAAAUCCACACCUAUGUUUUUGAGCUACACCUUUAAAAGCAUCGAAAGAAGGACCAUCUUUUUGGAGAUCUCUAAUUGAUACAUCCAGUAAGUGCAAAAACUGUGCGCAUUGGGCCAGUGUGCUAAAUACAUGAUACGGCAUUUUAGUUGAGAAUCAACUAUGUUCAUCAUGAUCUGUACAUCUCAAAAUAUGUAUAGAUUGAAAAUUGAUGGAUUUCGAUGCUUUGAUCAUAGCAGAACUUCAUAUCAUUUUAUUAGAGCCAUCCAUUUUUUGCAUGCACUUGAUGCAUAGGUAGAGACCACAAACCACAAAGAUGUAUGAUUUUUGCUUUCUAGGUACUUUUAGUGGUAUGUAUCACAAUCAAACAGUGCAGCUCUUCAAUUUGGAGGUUUUAUCAUCGAUUUUGAGUUGUUAAUCUCUUACCAAAGAUUUCACAUUUAAUGUUUAGUAUAACCCAAAAAGUUCUCUCUUUCUCUCCGAUUUUGUUACCCAAAAUGUAUGCCUUUAUCUGUCUUUCUUACUACUUCCCUUUUUGUUUUUUCAUUAUGUUCAGCUUUUUGGAAUCUGGGACAUCCCACUUUUGACUCGUUUAUCUCCCAGGGAUAUAUGUUCCUUCUCUAGCGCAUAAGAUAUGCUUGUAUUUGUUUAUUCUAGUUAAAGCCUGGUGGUGUAACAAACUUUAUUCACUUGUAAAACAUUUUAUCACUCAAUAUGGCACUCGUAUCGAUCUGCUUGUGUGUGCUAUCUAUCUUAAUCCACACUUCAUGCUUUGCGGCAUCAGAAUUCUUUCUUUCAUGUCUUUUCUUAUCAACUUCCUGCGUAAAACUUUUAGCAAAUUAUUUGAUCUAAACCCUGUACAUAUGCUCUACUGUCUGAUUUCCUUUUAGAUAUUUCAACAUUUAACUUGAGUUAUUUCAUGUCCCAACCUAUGCAAAAUUCCUAUGCCAUAACUCAUGGAUAUUCCAAAUUUGGUCCUGUUUAUUUUUAAGAUGGACCCUCCCUAUUGUCCAAAGUGGUUAGUGGAAAUUGUUGAAAAGCAGAAAUUUCACUUGUACAUGAAAUUUUUGGUCGGAGAAGUUAAUAUAUUGUAGAAAAUAUGUUUUUCAAUAAAACUUCAUUAAUUCUGAGAACACAAAAUGGACUCCAGAGAAUAAAUAAGUUGGGAUAAAUGUUGAGUUGAUAACUAUUAUUCACUAAGGAAUCUUCAUUAAAAAAGGAGUAUCAUGGAUAAUGACAAUCAUGGUACGCGAUACUAUACCGAACUGGGCGGUACCGGGCAUACUGUACCGUACCGGUUCGGUACUGGUACAUGAUAUGGGGGUGUACAAAUAUUCGAUAUGCCGAACUAGCCCUCGUACCUGGCAUACGGAUACAGUGACUGGGUGGCAUCAAUACAGGGCCCAAUACCAAGGCGGCGUACCUUAAUAACAAUAAUAUUUUAUAACUCGACAAUUGAUGCAUUCUAAAGAAUCUCCACCUUCUAGUUAUUUCGAUACUCAUGUUUUUUCUCUCUUCAAUCUAGGGAAGGAUAUGUUGGGGUUUUAACAUAGAUGUUACUCAGGUCAUAUAAUUUCCCUUAUAAAUGUUUUGACCCUGACGAAGCGCCUUUUUGCCAUUUUGCCACUUUACAACACCCAUAGCCAAUAUGUAAUCUUCAACAAAACAAUCUGUCACAUAUCUUCUUAAACACCUACUAGACAAAUAUGUGGUUCUGCUUGAUUCACCAUGCAGUGGUUGAGAGAGGUCUCAAGCUAGAUGUGAUCAGCCUUGCUUUGAUGUCUGACAAGAUUUUUGUAGUUCUAACUAGUUUUGCCUUUCCAUGCAUUUGUAUCCUAAAUGUAAAUUAUCUUUUUGAGUUAAACGAAAUCAUUAUUCAUCUUAUUUAUGACUUCCUUCUUUGACACGGAGAACUCUGACAUGUUAAUUCACUGCAGCUAUCAAUGGUACUCUUGCAGUUAAUAUUAAAAGGUUCUGAGAAUUGCUCUGCCUUAGUUUCUUAUAACCUUGUUUUAUAAUGGAGAGAAGUCUCAACACCAUCCUUCGUGAGUUAAAGUUGGGCAAUUCAUAGAUUUUCCAUCCCUACUUUACUAAGCUUCAUUGUUAUUUCUAAGCUACCAGAUUAUGGAUUUGUACUCAUGAACUUUAGUCUUAUAAUACAAUUUUAUUGGUCGGAAGUACUAUAAAGUUGAUUAUAUAUCUGACAUAUGUCGCCUUUUUCUCAUGUAGUUAUUUUCUGAAGUGGAUGUGAAGUUGGUCUUCAAGGAAGUGACGUCCAAAUUUUUGCGCAAGCGUAUUGUGGAGGUAAGCAAUGGCCAAUGUUGUAGCAUUACAUCACCAUGAAGUGUUCCAGUUUCAUAGAUAUCUUACACUGCUUGUCUUGAGCUUGUAUGGAGCAGGCUGGUUUGUACUAUGUUUUGCACCAUUGACCAAUACAAUUGUCAGUCAGUAAACUUUUGUAGAGACAUGCCACACUUUCUUUAAGAUAGCAUAUUCAUGCAGAAAUUUGCCUCUUGAUAAUGCAUCGGUAUGUUAAUCUGCUGAGAAUUACUGGUUCUAUACUGAUUCUCCGAAUUCUUUCUUUAUGUGGCUGUGGUAAUUCAAUAGAUGCAGCUCUUAUCAAAGGUGCAUGCCCUGUUGUCUUUUUAUGCACCACCAAGAUGUUUAGGUUCUCAUAUCCAUUUUCCAAAGCAUAUAAUCUGGUGGAUGUGAUCAAAUUUUUGAAUACAAAUCAAUGCACCAUGUCUUCUACUCCGUAUUGUCUUUUUCCUCAGGUUAAAUUCAAAUUGGAUGAGAUUUGAAAUUAUGGAGUGAAAGAGAAAGAAGCAAAGAAGAAUAAAAAUGGGAGAUGAGAAGAGAGGAGAAGAAGGAAUGCAGGGAGAAUAAAAAUGUGAGAAAUGAGAAUUGUCUAAGAGAUUAAUUCUGUUCUCUUCUCGUCCCUAAUCCUUUUGUUUUAGGAUUUUGCUAUAAUGUGAAGAUAGACAUCCUUCUAAUUUUAGGAGGCAUUAUACAAUCAUUACUAAUAAGAAACAACUAUAAUUGAUUAAUCAUGCAACACAAAUAAGGAAAAAAGAAAAAAACAACAUGGUAAAGAAAGAAAAGAUUUCUUUGUCUACACAUCUAUUUUUAAUUUUGUGAAUUGUAAAUUUGAUCUUAAGGGUUAUAAGUUCUGGUACCAUUACUCAUAAUGGUUGGGGUCUUGGGUUAGGUCCGAUUGUCAUCAGACCAUUUGGUGGAUCGAUGAUCAUGCCCACCCUUGGAUCGUUACAUCUUGGAUAGAUGGAGAGACCAGGUGUUAGUUGGGCUUGACUUGAGGAAACAAAAUGAAUUGGAGAAAAUGAGUUGAGUUCUGCCUCUCCCAUCAUCGAGUCACUUUCCCUCUUUUCUCUCUAAACCUAAAGCUUAGCCCUCUUCUCUUUGAUGGGCCCCAUCUUAGGAACAUUCGAAGUGCCAUUGUUGGCUUGUGAGCAAGGUUCGCCGUCUCGGUAUCGGACUCCAUACCAGUGCCACACUAGCAUAGUGUCGGUAUGGUAUGGUACAGAUUUUUUUUAUACCGAGUGUCGGUACGCCACCCGUACCGAGUACCAGUACCGAACCGGUAUGGUACGGUACAUUCCAUACCGUCCGGUUUAGGCCGGUACGGCAUGCCAUGCUUGUGAGUGCCAUUUUUCUUCCUUUUGUUGGCCACCGGUGCCUGUCCUGGGUUAUCCUUCCAUCAAGAUUCUCAAUGCAGCCAUUUUCUUACUCUUUACUGCUUGUUGGAGCCUGCCCCAUGCCAUCCAUCACCGAGAUCCUCACUGGAGCCCCUUCCUUCGCUUCAUUGAUAUUUUUGAUUCAAGAAAUAGGUAAAGGUGGCCAUGAAUAAGGUGAAUACUGAUACAGUUAUGUUGCAUAUAGGAUGUAAACAAAGGACUUACAGCUGCUGUCAAAUUCAAUAAGCUAAAUGUAAAUUUAAAAUAUUGGGUGUUCUUAACAGCAUUCAAUGCCUGUAAACAAAAGUAUAUGUUGUGCAGCCUCUUGACUUUGCCUCAAAUUAUCCCACAUCAAUAUUUAUAGUGUUACGAUAUAAUGUGCUGAGUUAUAGAGGGUUUGAUGCAUAGACAAGUAUGUCUGCAAAAUAUUCUACUUUUGGUAUGGAUGCAUGUUAUACCUGCAAAUCAUAUUCAACGGUCUAGAUUUCUGUUUUGCAACUCUGAUCAUUGAAUUUGAUGCUGGUCGUAGACUCCUAUUUUGACCGCUAUGUCUUUUGUAUCUCACCCAUAUUGGGUGCAGCCAUAAUACACAAAGGGUUUAAAAGUGAGGACAUAAUACAUACUACAAAAUUCAAUGAUCUAAGUUGCAAAAUAAAAAUCUAAACCUUGGAUAUGCUCUAUAAAUUCUGAAAUAUCAUGUAGUAAUGUUACCUCUUGUUUUGCAUCAAAUCCUCCCAAAUAUAUGGUUCUUAUGGCAUGAUAUAAUUUUUUGAUUUCAGGGCAACCUGAUGUAUAGGCUAGGAGUGCAGAAACAAAUUAUCUUUUAUACAUAGGCAUUUUAAUUUUAUUAGACCAUUUCCAAUGGUUUAUAAUUUUAUUUUUCAAACCUUAAUUUUUAUAGUGGCACAAAAUCGUCUCUUUACACCCCAUGUGUAUUAUAACUGCACCUAUAUAUGUAUGUAUAUGUAUGGACGCAUGUGAGCAACCACUAAGAAAUUUGACUCUUGUCAAUUCCAUGGGAUGAUUUGAAUUCUGAAUUCUGAUGAUACCGAUUUGAACCAAUAUUGUUAACGACAACAUCUGAUCUAUCAAAUCAAUUCAUCGUUGAAAUCGGGUAUUCCAAGAUACGCCAUCUCAGUACCGGGCCUGUACUGGUGCCAUCUUGUUACUAUAUCGGUACGCCUGGUAUGGGAGCUGGUUCGACGCACUGAGUGUCGGUACGUCCCUCCGUACUGUGUACAGGUACCGAAUCAGUACGCUAUGCCCCGUACCACUUGGUUCGGUACGGUAUGGCAUACCAUGGAUAUUUACCUUUCUUAUGAACGAUUAGAUCAAUGGCUUUAUUUGAUCUAAUACCUGAAUUCAGACCUGAAACAAAGCAAUGGAUAAGAUAUAUUCUUUCUUUCUUCAGUAGAAAAGAAGAUUUUCAGUAUUAGUUUUUCAUUCAUCUUAAAACCUGAAUAAUUUCAGUAGUCAUAUGGGAUAAAAUGGCUUGUGAUUUGUUCAUGUAUGUGAACAUUUGUGGAAAAAUAAUUUCAUAUUUAUCUGUUUUAUCUUCUUCAUGGACUUCUUUUAUGUUUUUUUCUUCAAGUAAGAUGUAUCAUUGUUAUCCCAUAUUAUGCUUCUGGCUGAUUAUGGUAGUUAUAAGUUUCCGGCUCAACUUCCUUUUACUUUGUGCAUACAUUUUCUUUUUUCCUUGUAUAUUUGGCACCGGGAAACUUAUUCCAUUGAAAGUAUCAUCAUAUUUGACUCAGGAAAGCCAGCAUGAGUCAACCUUUUGCGUUCCUUGACAGCUGGCACCAUCAAUCCAUAAAUUUUGGAUAUGUCAUUCAGCCUAUAAUAGUAGGCUAAACAUCAAUAAAUUACAUUAUAGCCACAUGUUGGUAUUCUAAUAAGAUUGUAUUUGCACACGUUCCAUAUCAGGGUGGAAAACGAAGCGAUGGACGAAACCCUCUAGAGAUUCGUCCAAUUAACUCACAAUGUGGAGUACUUCCUAGAGCACAUGGGAGUGCACUUUUCACACGCGGUGAAACACAGGUGAGGAGAUUUAAAUUUUUAGCAUCACCAAACUAGGAAAUUCAGUGCUUUUCAUAGUUCAUAUUUAUUUUUUAAACUUAUCUUUUCAUGUCAUUUGCAUAUUUCCAAUUGAGACAUUAAGUUUUAAGUUUUGUCAAUUAUGUAAUUUAACUCGUACUAUCAAUGAAAGGAAAACUGAUGUUCAAAUUUAUGGUUCAAAGGGGAAUCUGCUGGUUAGUUAACACAAGAAGUUGGGCCAAGUUGUAGCAAUGUGUAUCUCUUGGUUUUCUUUUCUUUUCUUUCCUUUAUUUUCAUCUAAAAUAUCUUAUGAAUUCUAUGAUUGUUUUGAAGCAUGUUAGCCAAAAUAGCAUAUUUUAAGAUUUCUUUCUUAUGGUGAUUUUCAGUGUUGAAUAUAAAGCUUCUUUGUUGAAACGUUAUCAGAUUCCUUAAAUAUUUAGAGAUAAUACAUAUUCUUGGCAAGCAAUAUGCUAGUACAAAUCUUCUUACUAUGCUGUAUUUUUCCAUAUUUUUCAACAAUUAUCUGGAUACUAACCGUUUGAACUUUUUAUGGCUCCAUGUCAUCUACUCUCUAUGCAUGAUAGAUUUACCUUAUGCUAUCAUUUUCUUUUCAAUAAAGGAAUGCAAAUUAUAUAUGGUGGUUUAUGUGGAAAGUACUUGCAUAUAUGACCACUUUAUUGCUUCUGCCCUCAACCAUUAAUAUCUGUUAUUUAGUUGGCAAAUGUCUACAAAUCUUUCUUGCAUGUUUGCAUUCCUUUUAUGUGUUUGAUAUAUUCUUGUGGAGUUAUACAUCCGCUACGACCAAAAAUAUGCAAUUUCUAUGUAUCUGCUAGUAAAGCAGGCUAACUUUGGAGGAAGUUUGUGUAUUGAAAUAUUUUUUACCACUUUAUACUAUGAAAACUUCCUCUAAUGAACUGAUAUAAAUAGUACUUCCAAGGUACCUUUUUGCAUGUUCUUGUUUCCGCAAACUUGAGCCAAGUGCCCGACGUAUAUGAAUUUGACUCAGCCCACAUGGCCUCAGCUCGUGAAUGUAGUUGCUGCAUAACCAUAUUAUCAUCUCAGCAACUGAUCAUAGAACACCUCUUUAGUUUUAGUAUGUUAUGAAGAUUAAAAGCUGGAUGCCUUAUCCAAAUGCUCCUCCAUAGGCUCAAGGUCAAGGUAUUAAUUAAAGUCCUGUGAGAGAUCAUAAACUUGAGAAUUUUUGGUAAAAAAGUGGGGUACCGACACUCGGUACGCCAAAAAAUUAAUACCAUACCGUACUGAUAUUGUGUUAGUAUGACAACCGUACGAGGUCCGGUACUGAGACGGCGAACCUUGGACUUGAGUGUUUUUUUUCCUUAGGUUGGUAUCCGACUUUUACACUAAUUAGUACAACAUUCUUUUCUAUGAUUACUUUAUCAUCAUCUAUCUUUUGUUUCACUGAGAUGAACGCUAAAACCUUGAGUGUCUUGAACAAAAAAGAAAGUCAAUUAUAUACACUACUAUGUUUGACAUGUCACAUGCAAAUGGAUAUUUUUUACAUUGAAAUUCUGGCAAAUAUAAUUAAAAAUUGUUCUGGUGAUCUCAGUUCUCUGGAAAUAUACAUUAAAUAUAGGGUUACUGGUGUUACUUUGAUUGUGAAAUAUUCUUUAUUUUGUAGUCACUUGCUGUGGUUACUCUUGGAGACAAACAAAUGGCACAAAGGAUAGACAACCUUGUGGACACAGAGGAGUUAAAAAGAUUCUAUCUUCAGGUAUGUUUUAGGAUUUCUUAUGUUAAAUUUAGUAUGUACGUCUCCCCAAAUAAUAGAACCAAUAUAUUGCAAUUAAAUAGUUAUUUCCCAUAUUUUUAGUAAAUAUUCCGUUAAUAAGGCAAAUGACAUUUGUCAGCAAUUUAAUUGUUUCACCGCACCAUUCUUAAUUGUCAAUCUUGUCUAGCCAAAUGUGUCUGGUAUUGAAUGAUUUUAGUAAUUUUCGGUUACAUUUGCAAAAACACAUGAAAAUAUUCAGUUUGGCAUGAAAUUUCAUAUUUUGACUAAAUGCAUAUAUAAAUUAUCAAUGGUUGAUGUUUUUACAGAGGGGAUGAGUAGCUAUUUGCAAGCUGAAUCCACGGGAUUUGCUCAGCAUUUAAGAUGGGAUCUAGUGAAAGUAAUUUACUGUUGGAUGGCAUCAGUAUCACAUAGUUAAAGUCAAUAAUUAAGUAACUACAAAUCUGAAUCAUAUCUUAGGUGAAAAUAUAAAUAUUUUUAUUGUCAAAGAGUGUUGUUGUGGUCUGCCAAUUUUGGGUUUUUGGAAGUGCAGACACUUUAUAUAUGUCACCACUCUAUCACAAAACCGUGCUUUGAUGCUUUUUGCCAUCAUGACAAUGUCAUCAUCAUGUGCUUAGACUUGCAUUAAUGCAGGAGCAAUAGGUGGGGUCAGCAUGUGUGCAGUGGUGGAUGUAAAGGGACGGAAUCCUAAGCUUAGGUUCAAAAUUACUUGCUGUCCAAUUUGUGAUAACAAUUGCAGGACAUGGUAGAGGGCCUUGAACCUGCCCUAAUAGUUAAAAAUUUGGGAGGAGUCCUAGGAAAGGGAUUCUAAAGAUUUUAAUGCUAAUGGAGUUGGUUCAAUGUUGAUCAAAAUGAAAAUUCUGGUCAUCCGUAGUUGUGACAUUUCUUUCCGUUUUUCAAGAAAUCAUGUCUAUGAGUGCAGAUUUGAAUGGAUGGUGAAUUCAAAGUUAAAAUUAUUAAUGAUUUGUUGGCUAUCUUCUACUGGUUACAAUAGUUCAAAGAGGCCUGAGAAUUAUUUCAUAUAUGCUCAGAUUGAGCGUAGUCACUAACAACAGAUAAGGAAGAACAGUACAAGUAAAAGACUUGUCAAAUAAUGGGGAAACACUAGUUUAGAUAAGGAAAGUUACAGAAGGAAAUAAUAUAAGAGGGAGAACAGUGACAUUUUGGUUUCUCUUUCUGUUCCUUGAGCAAGAACAGCUUUGAAUUCUUCUAAAUUCAUUUUCUGCAUGAACCCUUAUUUAUGGAGAACAAGAUUGCUAGGAAUUAGGAAACAAUGUUUUCUAGUCUAAAUGAACUCUUAAGACUUUCUCAAAAUUGUUUGACUCCCCAAGACACUUGUCUCCCACCUAAUACUCCAUGAUAUCCUCAACUUUCAGAAUAGUAACCAAAUAAAAGAAAACAAAAUUUACCUUGAGUUGGGAGUCCAAAGAGGACUACUAAAAACUCUCAAAAUUACUAAAACUUCCAAUGAAAUCUCUCCUUACAAAUGCGGAGCAAGUCAUCUCCUAUGCUGGGCAGAAUCUGGAUCAUGUGAUGCUUUUGAAAUGCAAACACUUUUCAUUGACAUCCGUAGCAGCAACUAAAUGAGCUUUAGGUUUGUGUUCUUCAACCACACUAUUUCAUGACGAAGAUGGGCUGUUAUUUCCAAACCUUGCUUUUAAAUCAUUUUUUUUGUGUACAAAUUGUUGUGUAUAGUAGGCCAAUACACCACAUUUGGCAUUAAAGAUGCUACUUCACUAAUCAUUUUGUCAUCUUCAUGCUAGGUGUUGGAGAAUGAGCAAACGAUGAUUCUGUUGAAAAUACUUCAUCUUUCACAUCCUCACUUGCAUCUGUGUUACUCUCUUUUCACUUCAAGAGGACGGCUUCUUUAGUCUUCUUUAAGACUUGCAUUGGUUGUGGCUUUGACUUUGUUGAGAAAGGUCAUAUGCCUGUAGGGGCACUGGCCAAAUCUUGCAUGUUCGUAGCUUCAUAUUUUGACUCCAAGCAUGAAUUUCUCUUAUGACCUGCUCUGCACACCUGAUGUAUGUACUUGCUUACUGCUUGCUGUAUUUGAAGCCAAUGGUUCCUAACUUCAGCUCAUCUCCAACACAUGGCUAUUUUGAUUUGAAGUAUCUUUCUCAUGGUGCAUUCACAACAUUUCUUUUGUUCAAAUCAUCUUCCAUCUUGUUUGUAACUUGACUUGCAUCUGUCAUUUUGCAUAAUCUUCUAGCUAUAGACACCCCCUACUUCCAAUAACGAAGAAUAUCUUGUUCCAAUUUAAAGGCUAGAACCCUAGCUCUCACAUCUUAUCCCUAUAUCCUGUGUUCUAAAUCACCCCAAUCUCAUUCUUAAUAAUUCCUAUUUUUCUAUUUUUUGUGCCCCCAUUUAUCUCUAAUAAGGCUCUAGAGAAUUCUUAAUUAGCUUCUAACCCCACACAAAUCAAUUCCCCCAGGCAGCGAAGCAUGCUCACACUUAUAAAUCUACAGUUAGCACCAAACUGUACCAUGUCGAGUUCCUCUUAUUGUAUAAAGCACGCCCAUAUUCGAAGCCUAUUUUCUUCCCGAUUUCCUCGCUCAGAUGUAUGCAGAAAUCCAUAAAUUUCUAGCACCUAAUAUUACACCUCAUUGAACAUUUGUUACUCUCAUCCUCAUUUUCCCCUAAUCUUUCUCCUCUAAUAGAUCUCUGCAUAUAUUAUAUCAACAAGCUACAUUGGACACGUCAUGCACGCACAAGCACACCUUGUCCCUUCUAACAACCCUCGUGCAUAUAUAUAUAUGCACCUAGCCUUGCACCCACAUCACACCCUAGGAAGGCAUAGGACACUUGUCACACUCAUGUGCACUCCUAGACAAAAAUUUCUAGAAGGCCCCUACGCGCACCUAUCUUAACCUCCUCUUGCUAUUUGUCCCUCUCCAAUUCAUGUUGCUUCCUACACCAUCUUCUUCCUUAUAUGAAAAGAGAAGAAUAUUUGAUCUCUACUAACUGUGCAUCCUCUCCAAGCUAGAUCUGUACCAUACACUAGCUUUGUAUACAUGUUUCAUGUUUGGCUCUUCAGACCAUCAUAGUUCUUGCCAUCCUAUCCUCUUUCUCUCACAAAUCUCAACAAUGCUAUUGUAUCUAGCCCUAGUAUUCUAUUAGUUUCUCUACCCCAGAUAUCUUAAAACUAACCAACAUGCCAUCAAGAUUAUUUCCCCUUAACUCUCUGUGAGUCUCUAAAUCUCGUGCUUGUGCUUUUAAUCCUUGCCAUCCAACAUUCAUGGGAAACAAAAGAACCCUUUGAAAGCUAAUCAUGUGUGGUCCACUUUAUCAAUUCAUGACAACCCUCAUUUAAUCACAAGCAAAGUUCGCCGUACUGGUACCGGACCUCGUACCGGUGCCGCACUAGCAUAGGCGUACUGAGUGUCGGUAUGGUAUGGUACGUGGUUCGCCAGGUGUACUGUCACUGCAUAUCGGUACCGGUACGGUAUGCCCGGUAUCGACGGGUACCGACUGGUACAGCAUACCAUGAUCACAAGCCUUCGUAUCACCAAUCACCAUGACCUUAUAUCUAAGGAGUCUUUUAGAAGCAUCCAUCAUAGUUAUUCAUGAUACUGUUACUCCUUUAUGAAUACCCCUAAUUCUGCACCCAAACCGAAGAUUAAAUUGGAACCUUAGAGGAGACAACCAUUUUAGAGAGCCAUCUUUAUGAGCUUCUUGUCCUCCCCAUCUUCUCUUACAUCCAUUCCGAGCUUAGCCUCCACUGCCACCAUCUCUUUUAACCUCUCGACCACCCAUCUAGCUGCUAAGGAAAACAAGAUCCACCAAGCCUCCUUACUUGGAGUUUUCCCCUAAGUGAAGACCUGAUACUAAGGAGGGUGGUAGGAGCAAGUAGUCUAUGAUGGCCAAAGUAAUUCUAUGCUCAUUACCACCACUAUCCUUUCUCAUCUUUUGCUUUCUUUUUUUAAUGUUUUUCUGCUAUUUUCAGAUAUAUAUUGAUCCUUUUUUUCUUUUAAGGAUGAGCUCUUUUACACCUUAAAUCAAACUUAAGAACCUCAUUGGUAACGGGGGAUGGGCAGUGAUUAAAAUACUACUUGAUUUAGUACUAAUCGCUUGGUUUGUACUGAUUGAGCCCCUCUCAAUAUAGGGAGGCUUGGUUUGGGAAGGGAUUGGACGAACUGACCCCAAACUGACCAUAGAUCGAGUGAUUUAAGAGGAGUGGGGGGAGUAGGGCUUACUGCCCUUGGUUCAGCUUUGGAAUUGAGCGGUAUUGCUUGAUUGAGCUUUGGAUAAAAUUUAUGGGCCUUUUUCUUUUUAUUUUACUCCAUUCAGCUGAAAAGAAAGAGAGGGAGAGGACAUAGUCUUGUAGGAGGGUUUCAAGCAAGGAUUCAAGCUUGGAUUUAGCCGCUUUUCGACACCAAAUUAUUUUAUUCAAGAAAUGAACUCUCUUUCCUCCCAUUUUUAAAAUGGAAUAAUCUAAAGAUAAAUUAUUGAUUGCUACAUUGAGUUAAAACAUUAACAAAAUUUUAUCUAAAUCUCAUUUGAUUCUUGGAUUCAUGCAUUUAGGUAUGAAUCGAGGAUCAAAUUCUAGAAAUUUGUGGAUUUUGGGUUGAAGCCCGAAACAUAUGCUCGAAAUCCAUGUAAAUUUGAAAUUGACUUGAGAAAAUAGUUUGUUUGGGUUCUUUGUGGGAUAUGUUCUAGAAAAUGAGAGAGGGUGUGUAGUAUUGGAAGACUAUUGUUUUUGAGCUAUUAUUUCUCAAAAAAAUAAUUUUCAUAAAUAAUUUUGAAAAAGUAAAUUAAAAAAAUUUGGGAAAAAAUUGGCAGCAUGUUUGCAUUGUUGCUGUGCACGUACUAUCAAAUUCUCAACAUUUACCUGAGUGGUACUUUAGUUCCGUCUCAGCUUAAGCCCAAAAUUUCCUAAAUUUAAAAUUGACCCAACAAAAUUAUUAGUGUUCAGGUUGUUUUUUUUAAUGAUUUAUGUAUUAGGCAUAUUUAUAGAAGCUCUUAAUUAAAAUUAUUUUUUUUGAUUAUUUAAAUAUAAAAAUAAUUUAGACUUAAUUAUUUACAGAAAUAUUGAAAAUUUUAUGGUUUUGAGAAAAUUAUACAUACUAUGUUAGAUAAUUGUUGACUAACUUCUAACAUAGAUAGUGCAUUUUUUCUAAUAAAUUUAUUUUAUUAAUUUUUAUUUUAAUUAAUUAAAAAUAUAUAAAAAGUUUAGAAGCAAAUUGUUAAUUAGAAGAUACAUUGAUGCUCCUAUGCAUGUAAUUUGUAUGCACCAAUGAGGUGCUUAAAAUGAGCUUGCAUUUCAACUCAGGCUGCAAUAGUUUCGGAAAGUUAAGAAAAUUGUUAAAAAAGUUUUGCUAAAUAAGUUAACACCUACUCUCUGUUGUAGCUUGUAGCUGAUGAUUUCUACGAACCUAUUUUCUUUUCAAUUGAUAAUUUUAACACAUGUUUUAAAUGUAUUUAAGAUUCCAAGUUAUCUAGCUUGUAUGAUAAAUAUGCAUACUGUUGACAUCAGCAUGCAUAGAAAACGACAACUUGAGCACUUAACUCGAUACUCCCACCUUAUUCUGUGAAAAACAUUACAAUAAAAGAAAACAUGAUAAAAAAACCCAAAAAUCAGAAUUUGGAUGCCAAAAAACGUCAUACCAAUAUGUUUGAGGGUGUAAUUGUGCAUACCUAUCGAUACCUUUCUUGAUAUGAUCCUUAAUAUGCUGCAUGUUGCACCUAUUGUUGGUCAGCAUGAGUGCGAGCCUCGGUAUUUCGAUCCUUGGGUAAGGAUGCACUAUCUUGUUGUCCCCUACCUUAAAUCCUGAACCCUCACCUUCACCCUCACCCUUAACAUGGUAUCUUCGGUCCCUUUGAGCUAGCUAAUAGCCUAUGUGUUGCCCAGUAGAUACAACCCAAGAGGGGGGGUGAAUUGGGUCUUUUAAAACUUUUAUGCUACUUCUAAAACUUUUUGAUUAACUAUGCUAAGUUGUAUAGAUGCACAGUGAAAGUUAAACUUAGCAAGGUUUUGAUGUAUAGACUUCGACUUGAUUAAAUAUGCUUGCAACUAAAGGAUGUGCGGAUAAGAAUUAAGCAAGCAAUUUAUCCAAGUAAGUAAGUGUGUUAGUUAGACAAUAACUAGAGGCAUUACAAACACAAAGGACAUAUAGUGGUUCGGUGCACCCCAGCACCUACAUCCACUCCCCAAGACCUCUUGGGUACUCAUUUCCACCAUCAUGUGUUGGUGAAGUCGGGCGCAUGGGAGCACCCAGUAGGAGGGAGAUUGGUCAUGGAAUGCUAGCUGAAAGAGCACUGGAGCCCAUUUUGCCUUCAGAAGAGGAUUUUCCUUACACUAUUCGUGUUGAGAGUACCAUUACUGAAAGUAAUGGCUCUUCGAGCAUGGCAUCUGUAUGUGGAGGUUGCUUAGCACUUCUAGAUGCUGGAGUUCCUGUCAAGUGCUCUGUUGCUGGGAUAGCAAUGGGUAUGGUCUUGGACACGAAGGGAUUUGGGGGAGAUGGAACUCCUCUCAUUCUCUCUGAUAUCAGUGGAUCUGAAGAUGCUUCCGGAGAUAUGGAUCUUAAGGUUGCUGGUGAUGAGAAUGGUAUCACUGCCUUCCAGAUGGACAUUAAGGUUGGAGGAAUUGCUCUUCCAGUGAUGGAGCAAGCACUUCUUCAAGCAAGAGAUGGUCGAAAACGUGUUCUAUAUGAAAUGUUGAAGUGUUCACGACCACCAUGUAAGAAACUCUCCAAAUAUGCUCCAUUGAUUCAUGUUAUGAAGGUCAAACCUGAGAAAGUGAAUCUUAUUAUUGGUUCUGGUGGAAAGAAGGUGAAAAGCAUCAUAGAGGAGACUGGGAUUGAAGCUAUUGAUGCCCAAGAUGAUGGCAUGGUUAAAAUUACAGCGAAGGACUUGUCAAGCUUAGAGAAGUCAAAAGCGAUCAUCACCAAUCUUACAAUGGUUCCAACAGUGGGUGAUAUAUACAGGAGCUGUGAGAUCAAAUCAAUAGCACCUUAUGGAGUUUUUGUUGAGAUUGCACCAGGACGUGAGGGACUAUGUCAUAUUAGCGAGCUGAGUUCAAACUGGUUGGCAAAAGCUGAAGAUGUAUUUAAAGUUGGAGACCGUAUUGAUGUCAAACUU